RNAcentral lists this transfer RNA (72 nucleotides) under Nitrososphaerota archaeon. RNAcentral describes it as "Thaumarchaeota archaeon tRNA-Phe". It matches the Rfam family "tRNA". Rfam says of the family: Transfer RNA (tRNA) molecules are approximately 80 nucleotides in length. The record is from RNAcentral. Lineage: Archaea; Thermoproteati; Nitrososphaerota.
GGGUCUGUGGCUCAGCCAGGCAGAAUUAUGCCUAAAGAGAAUAAGUCGUGGGUUCAAAUCCCACCAGACCCG